GGACCUCUAACCGGAAAAGA
Molecule: ribosomal RNA, 20 nt
Filed under: Plagiomnium maximoviczii
Lineage: Eukaryota; Viridiplantae; Streptophyta; Bryopsida; Bryales; Mniaceae
Description: partial 28S ribosomal RNA
Source: RNAcentral